Non-coding RNA from Tetranychus urticae (two-spotted spider mite), 1076 nucleotides. NCBI's taxonomy places the organism in Eukaryota, Metazoa, Arthropoda, Arachnida, Trombidiformes, Tetranychidae. The record is from RefSeq and is a predicted model, not a curated record.
AAAUACCUCACGCCAUGAUUAAAAAUGAACAAAGCAUGAGAAAAGGUGAGAGAUGAAAAAUAUUUGGGUAAAAAAAACAUUGAAAAAAAGGUUAACUCACAAAAGGGCGAGAUUUAACAUAGAGAAUGUUAAUGCACUUGAAUGUUAUCAAUAUUAUUACUUACCAUUGUUGUUAUCAUUAAUGUUAUUAUUUAACCUGUACAACAAUGUUACCAGUUUUAAUCCACCGUUAAGCUUAAAUCUUGUCGUGUGUAGUUGCAUGUUAAGCUUUUAAAUCGUUGAGCCGCAACUUUCAAGUUAAGCGCUCUUUUUUACUUGAUUGGAUUUAACCAGUAAGAAACGAAGGGGGGAAACAGAGAGAAAGAAAGAGAAUUGUUUCUCCAUUUUUUUUCUUGUAACUUACGCUUUUUUUACUUAAUCUUGUAAUAGUUUGGGGCUGUUUUUGUUGCCAUUAUUGUAUUUUUUGUGUGUGUGUGUAACAUUUUACAUCGGCUGGUGUUGAACAAGAUUGGUAAAAAUGGUUACUCACGAUAAUGGGAGCGCCAAGGUGAAAGCUCAAUGUUUAAUUACAAAGGUUUUACUUUACAACUGAUUGUACUUUUGGUUGGACUGGAUAUGUAUCUUGGUAUAUAAAAUGGUUGAUAUAGUUGGCACUCAUUAGAAUGACUGGAGGGCUUCUCGAUGUUCAUCAUUAUCAUUAUCUAAAGCCUAUUCUUUACCUCCUACUCUUUACUCUAAAACUUUCUGUUUUUUUCUCUCUUCUUCUCUCUUCUUUUUCUUUUUACCUUGUGUUUCCAUCAGCAUUACCUGUGCGUGUAAAACUUUCCCAUAGAAAAGUGUACCUAUUUUUUCAAUAGUAUAAGUGUGUAUGUACGUUUUUUCCCAGGACUUUCAAUGUUCAUCAUCAUUCUUUCUUCUUGGUUAUGUAUGUUAUUUUGUGUUCUAAGUGACUGUAAAUGAAAUAAUAUUGUAUAUAAGGAGACUAACCAAGUGUAAUUUACAUCAAAUUAGACUGUUACUUAAUGUCGUCUCUUUUCAGUACAGAUUAAUGUAAUUAAGAAACCAUAAGAAAUUAA